RNAcentral lists this ribosomal RNA (429 nucleotides) under Pseudomonadota bacterium. RNAcentral's name for it is "Proteobacteria bacterium partial 16S ribosomal RNA". It matches the Rfam family "Bacterial small subunit ribosomal RNA", at positions 355 to 776 of the family's 1533-position model. The record is from RNAcentral. Lineage: Bacteria; Pseudomonadati; Pseudomonadota.
UGGGGAAUAUUGGACAAUGGGCGAAAGCCUGAUCCAGCCAUGCCGCGUGUGUGAAGAAGGUCUUCGGAUUGUAAAGCACUUUAAGUUGGGAGGAAGGGCAGUAAGCGAAUACCUUGCUGUUUUGACGUUACCGACAGAAUAAGCACCGGCUAACUCUGUGCCAGCAGCCGCGGUAAUACAGAGGGUGCAAGCGUUAAUCGGAAUUACUGGGGGUAAAGCGCGCGUAGGUGGUUCGUUAAGUUGAAGGUGAAAGCCCCGGGCUCAACCUGGGAACUGUAUCCCAAACUGGCGGGCUAGAGUAGGGCAGAGGGUGGUGGAAUUUCCUGUGUAGCGGUGAAAUGCGUAGAUAUAGGAAGGAACACCAAUGGCGAAGGCGGCCACCUGGGCUCAUACUGACACUGAGGUGCGAAAGCGUGGGGAGCAAACAGG